Molecule: ribosomal RNA, 461 nt
Filed under: Halomonas sp. M17-C21
Lineage: Bacteria; Pseudomonadati; Pseudomonadota; Gammaproteobacteria; Oceanospirillales; Halomonadaceae
Description: bacterial SSU rRNA
Rfam family: Bacterial small subunit ribosomal RNA
Source: RNAcentral
UWGAGUUUGAUCAUGGCUCAGAUUGAACGCUGGCGGCAGGCCUAACACAUGCAAGUCGAGCGGAAACGAUGGAAGCUUGCUUCCAGGCGUCGAGCGGCGGACGGGUGAGUAAUGCAUGGGAAUCUGCCCGAUAGUGGGGGAUAACCUGGGGAAACCCAGGCUAAUACCGCAUACGUCCUACGGGAGAAAGCAGGGGAUCUUCGGACCUUGCGCUAUCGGAUGAGCCCAUGUCGGAUUAGCUUGUUGGUGAGGUAAUGGCUCACCAAGGCGACGAUCCGUAGCUGGUCUGAGAGGAUGAUCAGCCACAUCGGGACUGAGACACGGCCCGAACUCCUACGGGAGGCAGCAGUGGGGAAUAUUGGACAAUGGGCGAAAGCCUGAUCCAGCCAUGCCGCGUGUGUGAAGAAGGCCCUCGGGUUGUAAAGCACUUUCAGUGGGGAAGAAAGCCUUGGGAUUAAUAC